This is a long non-coding RNA of Numida meleagris (helmeted guineafowl), 11316 nucleotides long. RefSeq lists it as uncharacterized. The transcript has 3 exons. NCBI's taxonomy places the organism in Eukaryota, Metazoa, Chordata, Aves, Galliformes, Numididae. The record is from RefSeq and is a predicted model, not a curated record.
CUUUGCCUAACCCCCACCUGGCCCUCCCUUCACACAGCUCCAUGCCGUACUCUCAGGCCCCUCCGCUCCCUGUGAGGAGCUGUAGGCUGCCAUGAGGCCUCCCCUCAGUCUGCUCUGCUCUGGGCCCAGCAAACCCAGGGGUCUCAGCCGCUCCUCACGCGUCUUCCCCUCCAUACCCUUCCCCAUCUUUUGUUCAACAAAAUGUACGGAUGCCAAAGCUCGAAAGCAAGAACAAUCUAGUUGUACACAGAAGGGGUCAGGAAUGUAUUUUCCAUAGCAGCCUGAUAUUAGAGGAAAUACAAAUUGCCUGAAACAACUUGAAAAGCAAGUACCUGCUCCUCGGCCCACGGUGGGCCACGGCAAAAAUGCUGCUUUGUAUUUCUCAGAAAGAACAUCAGGAAAUAAAAAUUGUGCUCAGCCCCAGGUACCCAACUUCAGUUGCUAUUUGUCCUGCAGCUCGAGAUCAGGCCAACAUUUGUCCAGCAGCUCUAAACACACAUGGCUGAGGAAGCAGAAAUGUUAAAUACCAUAAGCAGAAAUCUUGGAAAUAUUUAAACUUUCUCAUAAGAAAACAUGAAGUUAGAAGAUUAUAUUUUUUUUUCUCAGCUACCAUGGAGGUUUUAUACAUUGUUAAUGCUUUCACUAUGUCCUGCUGAGAGCCCUUCCACUUUCCUCUCAGUGUGGCAGCCACUGCGGACAAUGAACUGAUUGUGAUGUUGGAAAAGCAACCGAUGCAGAUGGCUGAGAUGCCUGAUCUUAACCCUCUGUGAGAGGGAGAGAAGAGGCAUCUCUACUGAGCUCAGAGGAAUGGCUUUUGGUUGGGAGGAACAUCCAUCAUAAUGUCUUCUGGUUGGAAAAGUAAGUGAAUGAAUUUUGAAACAAGUGCUGUGUAUUUUUUAUGUAAGUUGCCGUUAAAUGGCUUUAUUUUAAAAAGCGGUGGUCACUUUAGUUCCAGAAGAGAGGAAAUUUAUGGUGAGAUGAAUAUUUUUGUAACAUUUCCUCUGUUCCCUUAAACAAAAAAAAGAACCUCGUCAGCAAAAUACAGCAUAGCAGCGUAUACCUCAGGUAGAAAAAAUAAUAAUAUUAGCCUGCAGGAAAUCUGGCUUCUCUGCAAAUUAUUCUUUCAUCCAGAAGAAAUAUUAUUUAUUUUCCAUCUAUCAUUAUUGAAAGCUGUAUUUGCUUAAUAAUUGACUGAAAUAGAGAGCUCUUAAAGCAGGCAUUCUGAAAGAUAGUUUUUCACAAAGUGCCUGGCAAUUUUUUUUCUGUUUCACACUGCUCUCCUGAGAACCAAGCAGAUCACACCCCUCUCCCUCCCCACCUUGUUUUCUGGGGCUUUAAUCUGUAUUGGAAAAUAUUGACACACUUCUUUAGUUACAUGAAAGCGACACUAAUGGGGAUCAGAUCUGACUUCAGAGAAAAGGGACUGUGAAGAAAAAUCACAGAAUGUUGCAAAUAAAAGGGAAAUUAAUCCAGGUAGAAAAUCUAUAGCUACUUUCUGCAAAUUAUUACCAAGCAUGAUGUGAAUUGCGCCUUUGAUUUGAGUGCUGGUUAGCACAGUGAAUGGAUUUUAAGCAGCAUAUUUUACACAGCCAGAGACAUGAAAAGCCUUGUUUUUAAAGAAGGCAUUGUUCUCUGCUUCUAUUUUUAUGACGGCAACACCUAGGAUCAUGACUCCAUUGUAUCAGGCCUGUGCAAACACAGGGGCAGAGACCAGCCUGGCUCUGCAGAGCAAACACGCUAACAAUGAAGGUGGAGAAGGAAAAUUUCCUGUUUCACAGCAGGGGAAGUGAGGUGCCCAGAGAUGAUGCAGCUCCUUGGGGCCAAGAGGGAAGCCUGAGGCCGCCAUGGGUGCAAAGCCCACAGCUUCAGGUUGGGUAUGAGGAAUAAGUUCUUCACUGAGAGGGUGGUUGGGCACUGGAACAGGCUGCCCAGGGCAGUGGGCAGAUCCCCGAGAUGCCAGAGUUCAAGGAGUGUUUGGGCUCUGCUCUCAGACUUAGGGUUUGGUUUUGGGUGGUGCUCUGGUGAGCCAGGAGUUGGACUCGAUGAUCCUUGUGAGUCCCUUCCAACUUGGGAUAUUCUAUGAUUCUCUGAUCUUCUGAGCUCUCAUCCAGGGCAGUAACCUCGUACACCCAGCCCUCUUGGUGUCAGACCAUGAGAUAACCUUUUCUUCCAGUUUGUGUCCUGUUAGAGUCUGAUGGAUUCCCUGAAACUCCUUCAGAAAGAGCAACCACAAAGAAUUAAGCUGCCAGGUUAAGUAAAGCAGGAAUCAACUCAGACACCUCUAAGCUCAAUUUCUGAAGCCUCUUCAGUUGCCUCAGAUUGGCAUUAUGAAGGAAAUCCCUGUGGCUCCCUUCAAACUCACAUGUGUAGGGAACACAACCAUGAAGCUGCAUUGGGAUGGAUGUGCACAGGGCAAGUUGAUGCUGGUUUUAGACUCUCUCUGAUGCUGCCUACAUGGGUGGAGGAAGCACUAUGUUUGUCUGGGAUGUGUCAUCUGUCUGUCUGUCUGCUGGCUCUGACACAAUGGGGUGCGCCGCUCUGCAAUUAGUGACCACAUUGUGUGCUUGCUAUGGCUUGUGGCAAAACAAAGUGGAAGGAAAGAGGAAGUGAGUGUGGACCACGGAGCUUUGGCCUACAACCUGAAGACGCUGUUGAGAGAAAAAAAAAAAAAAGUAUGACUUUUGCAUUAAGCGCUGGUAUUUUUAGUGCUUUGAGCGAAGCAACUUUUGUCUUUACCCUUUAUGCUUUUCUGCCCGUUUCAGCCUAAGGCUGGGUAAACCUGAUAAAUUUUCACUCUGGAAAGUGCAGAAGAUAGAAAAAGCUCAGCUGCUUUCACCUAGUGCACUUCGCCUUUUUCACAGAUCUCAAGAUUGUCCAGAGCUCCAAUCCAAGUGGAAGGACAAAACCACUGCAUGAAGCAGUGCCUCCACUUUGGCUGUAGGUUGUGCAUAACCAGGCAGGGAGCAUCUGCAAGGAUCGGGCUGUGCAAGCUCAGCCUCAUGGGAUUGCAGGAAGACAAUGCAGAUGCUGCUCAGUGCAUCUGUUCCAGGCAGCCCUUCCACCUUUGCCUGAUGAGCAAACCAUGAAAGUCUGAAGGUAAAGCUUUUUCCAAACAGCAACACCACCAAUGCAAAACCAAGCACAAUCCCACCUUGUUCUUCAGGACUUUGGUUAAAACAGAAUCUAUGGAAGUGCUAGUCAGGGAAAUGCUUGCAGACCUCUGGCACUGUGGCUCAGUGGCUGCAGGGAGGUGAGCUCUGCCUGUACCCGUGCUGACCCAGUGCUGUGAUGAACGUUGCGUGCUGUGGGACAAUAAACAGUUUACAUAUCCCUGUCCAGAGGCCACCACGAUCAUAGACUGCAGAGGACACUUUCCUACUACAGCUUGCCAACAGCACACUCUGUGUGUGUGUAUGUGUAUGUGUGUGCAUGCAGCAAUUGCUUUCUGUUGUGUGCUCCUUGGCCAAGUGACAUUUUCCACAGAUGGUGCCUGAGUUCAGUCUGCACCUGCAUGUGUGUGUAAAUGGGGCCACAAUUAUCCAGUUUGUUGGAACUGUGCUUUCAGCCCUAAGCCCAUUUUCCCCCUUCCAUAUGCUUAGAGUGAAAGAAUUUGAUCUCUUGCAUACACCAAAUUUUUACUGCAAUAGAUGCUCUACAAUUACUGUCCUCUCCUACUGUACAAAUCAAAUCUGUUGUUCAUUUAUUUCCCCUCUGGCAUUCAGCCUCUUUGUCUGUUGUUGUUUUCUAAGCAUUUCUCAUCAUAGCCAAAAAGCAAGCUGCAGUAUCUGGAAGCUAUACCUACAUUAUUAAAUAACUCUGAGAAUACUUAUGGGGAGAUGGGCUUUUUCUGGCUUGAAAACCAUACCAGAGUGAAAGGGCUGAAUUUCAUUUUGCUAAGGUUCUUGCAGGGAUGCUAGAACAAAUGGGCAGCUCUUUCAGUGUAGUAUAAACAUAGCAAGAUCUAAGUGCUUCCUGGUCCUCGUGGAGAAUGAGCAUUUAGAGACGUAGGUCUGGGGGUGGCUUCCUGGGUUGUUUCAUCCUCGGAGCUGACUUAAAUAGGUUGGAGCUAGAGGUGGCCAUGGGAGGUGAUUCAGUGACUGCUGCAAUGUGUAAGGGUUCAGGAUCCAUUGUAAGUCAGAACCAUGAUUUGGAGGGGAGUGGAAAUGCUCAGUGCACAGGUAGGGUUGCAGACUUCUUGCAUUGCUGAAUUUUGAACCUUGCAGCAUCAGUUUAAAUCCAUCAUGUGGAGUGCACAUCUCAAUGGAAAUCCCUCUGCCCAAACCGAACGGAGGCAGCAGAGAUGUAGCAGAGGUAUGUGACACAGCAGCUCGGCAUGGAGCGGGAUGGACGGAGCUGUCUGGCUGAUGGUGAUGCACACAGCUAUUUUUGGCAAUUGCACUGCCUAGGCAGUGUUGAGUCUGGUCUGAUGCAAACUGGCAUGCUUCACUGCUGAGGCUCAUAUGGCAAACACUGAUGCUUGGCAUAUAUUCUUGAAUUGUUUCCCUCUUAACUUGCCAUACUUCUGUCUUUGCUAUCUGUUUUUAAUUCUGUCUCUGGUCCACACACAGUGAGGUGUCUGCAUUGUAUCACCGAGAAGGACUUAAUCAUGCCGUGCCCUAACUAUUGGGACACUGGUGCACCUCCUGCCGUCCUGAGAGUCAUGCAGCAGGUCAGCCUGGUGCUGCUGUGUGUAAGCUAUUUCGUGGUCAUGAAGUAUUGUCCUGCACCAGAUCCUGAUGCACCUACUGACUGUGGACAUGACUGCAGACCCAGGAGAGCCAAGUGCUAACCCACACAACUGAGGUGGUCAGGAUCUGGUCCCAUGCACAUCGUUUCUUUCAGUGAGUGGCAAUCUUUCUUCUGAUCCACGUGGACAUUUUGUGAAAAAAAGUCCUAAAUUUCAAGCCUUGCAGCUUGCACAUGUGUUCCUGCCAGCUACCAGGGACUAGUAAGGUUCCAGUUAGAACUGGCACUCUUGAUUUUCCUUGCCUUGCACUGGGAGAUAUGCGAGAGUUUGUUUAUGUGAGAUUUGGGAGAACAAAGGCAAAUUAAAUCCCACCCUUCCAAUAGGAUAUACAUUUUUUCAACCCUGAAGCAAAUUUUCUAUGUCUGUGUGUUUUGGCUUUUAAACUCAAUAGCCUGAAGGCAUUAACCACGUCAGCAAAGAAAUGGAAAGCUCAUUACUACACUAUUAGAAGGUUUAAAACUGAAAACCAGAGCCUAUAACAACAGAAAAUGGGAUAUCAAAGACAUGUCCCUCUGCUCGAUCCUUUCACUGAAUUGGAGCUGGAGGGAUGCUGUGAAGGUGUUUUGUUGUGCCUGCACACUCCUCAACCAUCUCAGAAUGUUGAGGUGUAAUGGCUUUUAAAAAAAAUUUAAAUAAGAUUGUUGCAUAUUCUCACUUGGCCAGAUAAGAAGAAUCAAAACAGAUAAUAGCAUGAGUUCUGGAGGUAAAGGAGUGCUAUGAAUGAGAAUUCACUCCCUCUCUGUUCUUCCCCCGAACAGUGCAUCUGUGACACCAGUACCCCGUGAGUUUCACAGGGCAGCUACCUCAGCCCUAUAAGUGCCAUACAGAUCACUCUACGCAUUUUACUGAAAAAAAACGGGGGGAAAAAAAAACACCAAAAACCAACAUUGUCAAUUUUGGCAGUUGGAGGUCAUUUAGGCUGUUCUCUGUGUAUGGCACUUGGAUAAAAGAUUGCCUUCUGCCGUGAGCUUCCUAUUCUCAAUUUCUCACUGGUCCCUUUGGACUGUUACCCUGCUGCUCUCCAUCAUUUUUUUCCACUAAAUUCCCACCCGUGACACUUGCACUACUUGAACUUCUUCCCCACAGACAGUAUUUUCUGAACACUCUAUUCUAUUUUAUUUUUUGUGACUUUCGGGGGCAUUUCCCAUUUCCAGCAUAUCUUUCAGAAAGAUGCACUGAGCCGACUUGGUACAGCGUGAUACAAAUCCUACAUGCUUGUAUAGGACAUGUUUCCACUCCUAUGCCCUGUUGUUUUAAUCCUGCAGUGUCCUUUCCCAUGCUCAGGCAGGGCUGUGUGCAACCUCGCUUUGCACCCACGUGAGCGUGGUGCUUGCUCUGAGGUAUGCAGGUUGCGGUCAGAUGGGGAGUGCUAUUUCUGGAGGAUACUGCCGCCAAAAGCAAAGUGAAUCUGUCACAAAACCACUUCUACAUCAGCAACGAUUUUAAGGCUUCAUCUGCACGUAUUUCCUAGGAAGGAAAUCUCUUGUAUCCUGCACUGUUGGUUCCCUAAGGGGAAAAAUAUCUGCUUGGAGCAGAUCCUUUGGGAGAUUCAAAGUUCCCCUGAGGAAUGCAUCCCUGAGCCAAAAGCGUCAGGUGCAGCUGAUCACAGUAAGCCUGGGGCUGCCGAGGGGCUGGGAAGGUUGAUGAGGGUGGAAGCAUUUUGGGCUAGAAGCCACGAGCAGGCGUUGUGGAGGCUGACAACACCAUCCAACCUGUGCGCUUUUCUUGGAUAUGUGAUUUUUGCCAAGGUUUGCGGAGGGUGCUUGGGGGGCUGUGCUGGUUAAGCACAGUGGAAGCACAAGUGGAAACCACAGGUAUCGAAUCUCAGUUGCAGAAAGGAAGUGCAUUCUUCAGUGGGGCCUAGAUGUGUGGGAACCUCCAACAUUUUAUAUCAUUUCUAUGUGCUUCUGUUGAGUAUACUGGUGCUGACCUUUAAAAGGCAAACCCAAGAGAGCCAGGCUGGCUGGUUUUGCUUGCAGAGUUCUGCUACUGGGUCUUGGUAGUCACAAGUGCAAAACAUGGUUGGUGCUUAGGGCCACUGAUAAAACCCAAGGGAAUGGCAUGAAGUUGUGAUGGGGAGGCUGAGAUUGGAUAUUAGGAAAAAGUUCUUGACCAGACGUUGCUGGACAUGGCACAGGCUUCCCAGGGCAGGUGGCACAGCCCUGAGCUGCCAGAGUUCAAGGAGUGUUUGGAUAAUGGAUAAUGCUCUCAGAGGGUUUGGGUUUGGGUGGUCCUGUGUGGAGCCAGAGGUUGGACUCAGUGAUCUUCAAGAGUCCCUUCCAACUUGGGAUAUUUUAUGAUUUUUUAAUUUCUGAGACAUGGCAGUGGUAUAUAAAAAUUCUUUGGUCCUGGUAAGAGAGGCUGGGAAUCAAGGUAUUAUCUCCCCAGGGUUUGUUUCUAAUCCUGUGAUGUUUAUUAGAACUGCCAGGUGCCCUCUCAAAGUUUCCGGUUGAGUUCUGCUUGGACCCAUGGCACUAGCUGGUGUCUGAACCUACACAGAGGACACAGUGCUGGAAUUUUGAGAAUGAGACUUGCUGAUACCAAAUGGCACAGAGACUUUGCAUCAUCUGUUAAUAGCAGAAAUUAAUUUGAUUUUCACUUCUACACUGGAAGACAGUUAUAUCUAAACCUUCAGCCCACCGUAACCUUGGUGGGCAAGCCCUGUGUAAGUCAUGCAGAGCCAAAGUGGGAUGAUGAUAAUUUCCACUCUCGGUAGGCUGACAAACAAAAAGCUUUGGUUGUCUUUAAUGAGAUCUGAUGAGCCACAAGAACAGCAUCAUUUCAUCUGUGUCUGAGCGCUUCAGCACAGACACAACAUGGAAUUGAUGACAAAAGUGUGUGGCAGCGGUUACUGCCAUGAGAGUUGUUCUGGGAGAAAACACAAAAAAAAUCAUUUAACUCCCUCCUUCACCUCUGCAAGUUAACUGGGACGUGCUUUAUUCCCGGCACAAUUAUAAAUUUAAAAAUGAGUGCAGUCAGAGCUGUAGCUGAAGAGGGACUGGAUGGUGCCACAGCAUAGGCUGGAGCAGAGUUUACAAAAAGCUGCCUUUUAAAUCUUAUGCCUACAUUCUGUUUCUCUCUGGAACAAAAUAUGGUACUUCCAGCCUACAAUAUGAAGUGAGUCAUAAUAUUGCCAUUCUGCUCCCAGCAUAAUUGGAGCAUACCUAUGGUAUGAAGUGGGAGAAAUAUUUGGCCAAGAAGAAAGCUCCAGAAUUUUAUGUACUGUCAAGACGUGCUUAAUAAAUGGAGAGUAUUAUUUUCAUAUUGCGUAAUUCAGACUUUCCUCAUUCUGGGGUUGUUUCAGCAAAACAUGCAAGUGUGUGCUUAUCUUUAAUUAGUGUUUAAGCCAAGAUGACUGUUAAUAUACUUAUGGGAAGGACUUUUCAAAGGGCUAGGCUUCUUGACAUGCGUGAAGGCAACCAUGUGCUUGCAUCUGCAUAGCGGCUGAAGGAACUCUUGCAGGUAGACAUGGAGGAUGGGUGGAGGUGGCAGAAAGCACGUAUGUUUGCCAUGAUCUGUGGUCAUUUAUCCUGUGCUUCUGCUGUUUUCCUAAGGGCAGACUUUAGCAGUCUCUGCUAUCACCCAUGUGAGCAUGGACUCAGCUGGAAAGGCUUUAGGGCAGGGUAUGAAGCCCUCAUCCUGACAAUGACAAUGAGCACAUUGCCCUCAGCAGACCAGAUUUCAUUCCCUGCGUGUGAAGAGACUCUGAGACAGAGAGGAAUGAUCAUGUUGUAUGUGGCUGGCUAUGAAAUAUUUUGGCAAAGGAAUCAGGGCUUGAUCUUGAGCUCUUCCAGGUGAAAAAUACAGUCAGGAGUAAUGUGAACACAAAAUGGCAAGUGAGGCAGCUCGUGGGUGAAGUUCUGGUCUACAACACCAGUGACUUGGCCUUGAUUCCUGACCUCAGCUGUGUGCCUUUCCCAAUGCCAGUGUUUCCCUCCAAAUAAAAUGGUAGCAUUGAAAUAAAUUUGCUUUUAAAUGAAGCCUGAUGAACUCUCAUAUAUCACUGUGGUUAUACAAGCAACAGUCCAUGGGUUGAACUUACUGUUUACUUAGCAUAGCUCACUUCUCUGCAUUAACUGCUGUUAUUGUUAACUGCUGUGAUGCCUGCUGUCUACAGGGCUUUCAUGAUCAAGAAUAUAUAAAAUAACAGUUGUUCAUUUUAUUUUUAAGCAUUCAAUAGCGUGCAGUGAGUUGCUCAACAUUAGGCAGUGUGUGCAUUAUUAUACUGUGCUCUCAUAUGAAAUGUUUUUUGACCAAACAGCCCAAAAAUCUCUCUUGCCCUUGGUGAUGAGAGCUCACAGAAUCAGAACACCAAUGAACAUUUGAACCCUCCGGAGUGUGAAGUAAUAAUGGCCAGCUGGUGUCAUUUCAGUUGGGAAAGCAGUGAGCAAAUGGCUAAGAUAUGAGGAUUAAAUCUGGUUUAUACCACACCACUGAGGACCUCUAAGAGACUGGUUUGGAUUGGUUUUCAGAGGAUUUCAGAACAAAGGGUUUUCUCAAAAUCUCUGCCCUUUCUGAAUAACAACAUUCCUCUGUUCAAGCAGGAUCUUUGGACUUCCAGUUUAAGAAUAAAUUCUGGAAAACAGAUGGAUCUACCGCUGCUGAGAUCCUCUAGUCAAAUUAAGAAGAGAAAACCAACAGGACAUAUAUGCCUAUAUAUCACUUGAAACUCCUUUCCUUCUGUUAAAACAAUAAAUUGUUAUUGCUGUGCUCAUGGGCAGCCUGCAUUCUCCAAGCAGACUCCAUGUUGUUGAACAGAGAAAUUGAUGAAGUCAGACAUUUCCCAGGAUAUGAUGGUCAGCGAUGGACUGGUACUCAGGAAGCCAAAGAUAAUGCAAUCUGGGUAUGGAAAAAAUGUAUGUCUUCUUAUAAACACAGGAAAACAGUGAAGACAAAUUAAUUUGAUCUUAUGCAUACAUUCAUCAUCAUAAGCUUAUGAUUCCUUUUGUAAUUCUUUAACAAAGUGAAACAAUGAUUUGAAGAAUAUCAGAGCGGUAUCCUCUUGAGUUGCUCACAUCAGCCAGUGUUUGUUCUAACAAAUUUGCUUUCCUUCACAGUAAUUUUUCUUCAGAGUUUUUUUUACCAACCCUGUUCCUUUGGACGUAUUGAUUUCCCAUAGGCUUGCAUCUUCCUACAUUAAGAUUUGGGUUUUUUUUAAAGCUGGCUACAUGUCUGGGAACUACACACCCUUGCGUUCCAAGAGGGCAGAGGGAGGUAUUUCUAGAAAUAGCAAAAUGACAAACAAAUAGUGAGAAAUUCUGGUCUUGGCCACCUUACUAUAAACUCAGCCCAUAGGUCUUUUUUCAGAACUGAGGUUUCCCAUCUGUCAAUGGGUGGAUUUAAAUUCCAGCGGAUGUUGAAGAGACAUCUGGAGUGUAUCCAUUGCACUCCCAGAGUCAGUGAGCAUCACCCAGUUACCAUAUAUUUUUUGCUGACCUAAGGGAAUAUGUGGUCUUCCCUCCAAAUGGGUGACUGCAGAAAUUCUGAUGUGUCUAACAUCCUCUUGUACAGCUACUAAGAGUCUCUGAUACUGAGACUCCUUCUUAGUGCUUGUCCUUCCAUAACCAAACUUAAUGAGUGUCUUUUAUAAACUAAUGGGGUGGGUGCUGAGGAAUGAACCAGAAACCUUCAGCCUUCAAGGAAGCUGAAUCAGUGGAUUUGAACCUGACUGGAACAAAAAUGAGGACAGGAGAUUUUCCAAGGAACCCAAUGUGCUUCUUUUCAAAACUCAGCAACAGAAUUUGAAUGGGCUCUCAAGUUCCACGUGAUGCCUUCAAAAACUCCAGCACAAGUUUUAAGGGAGAGAAAGAGGAGAUUUUCCAUCCUCCCACAUUCCAAAGUGCCCAAACAAGGAGAAAAGUGUUCCAUUUUUUCUACACCAGAAAUGACUCCAUUGUACAAAGCAAAUGCCAGGGCCCAGGUUUGUUCUAGUUUUUGCACGUAUUUUUCAAGUCAGUGUUUAUUUUGCCUGAUCUGCCCUGACUUUCUGGUUCCUGUUUCUGUUGUCUCCCAUUGUUGCUGGUGAACUUUGGCCCUUACCGGGAUUAUGGUGGAGUUGCCUUUGUUUGAGGAGGUACAUGGGAGAUUUUUCAAUGCUGUUGUGCUGUGAGAAAAGGAGGGGCAGCACUUUUGGCUUUUCCAUCCCAUUCUACCCCUCUUAUCUCCUCCUGCCUCUCCUCUGGGCUGUAUUUUAUCAGCAGCUAUCCUGGCACUUGUGGUUGCUUUUUGCCCACUAUCCCAUAUUGAGGCGUGGAGCUGCCAUGCCCCUGCCCCAUGCCAAAUGCCAUAUGUGUUCCUCUGCUGACCAAUCUCCUUCUCUUCUGUACCUACUAUUCAAGUAGAUGAAGGGAAAUUAAGCUCAUUUGCUACCACCUGUAAUUAGCUGGAGUUACAUCUCUGAGAUGGUGAAUGGCUUUAGGACUGCUGCCUUUGUUUAGCAAUGUGCAUCUGUGCAAAUGAUUUGGAGGAAAAUUCCAUAAAGCAGAAACCACAGACACUUCUCUAACUGCUUCUGUAAAUUGGUAUAACAAAGUAAGUCAGGAAAAUAAUUCCCAAAUGUGUCUUCUUUG